CCCGGAGUCGCUCUGAUAUAGACCCCCUAUUCACCGUCCCAGUACUAGCUCCAGCCACUCUUUCUAAAACCCUUAACAUGGCUUGGGAUAAAGCGUCAUCCCCCGCAGCCCGAUCAUAAGACCCAGUCUCCGUUGCUUGUGGCACAGAUGGCUCCUCAGCUGGCCUAUGCCCUGAGGAUGAAGAUUCAGCUUGCACCCUUCCGCGACCACGUCCGCGGCCUCGUCCAC
Molecule: long non-coding RNA, 228 nt
Filed under: Gossypium barbadense (sea-island cotton)
Lineage: Eukaryota; Viridiplantae; Streptophyta; Magnoliopsida; Malvales; Malvaceae
Description: long non-coding RNA (GBAR_LNC002146)
Source: RNAcentral